Molecule: long non-coding RNA, 2707 nt
Organism: Cynoglossus semilaevis (tongue sole)
Lineage: Eukaryota; Metazoa; Chordata; Actinopteri; Pleuronectiformes; Cynoglossidae
Exons: 3
Source: RefSeq, a predicted model, not a curated record
AGCAUGUCAUUUUAGCAGGCUAUCUUUUUGGUUGUGAAUGAAUUUUAAACAUGUAUUGCAGUGACAGGUGGCUGUAGAGACAUGUACAGUAAAGGUGAGUGACCUGCCCACGGACACAUCUGUUUCCUUUAAGACUUUCUUUGUCUUAGUGUAGGUUGAACCUCCUUUUGUCUGCUCUGCUCCGCCCUCCCCUGCUGCCAGUCUCUACCUGUGAUUAGCCUCCACCUACACCUGCCUCUCACCUGCCUCCCCAACAAUCAGCCUCAUCUCUCACACCUGUUUCCCUGGCUAUAUAUACCUGUCUCUCCCAGUCAGGUCAGACGAUGUGCCCUGAUUUACAGGUGCCUUUGAACCUUGUGUUUUGAUUAUACUUGUUACUUUGGUUUAGUUUUUUUUUUUAAGAUUUGAUCUUACUGUUUUGUUUUUGUUUUUUUUCAUUUAAAGAAAUUACUUUUUUUGUUCGUUUGAGUUGUGCCUUUGGGCUCUGCCUCCUGAGACUCCAAUGACACCCACACACAGAUUUCAUUGUAAUGAAUUCAGAAUGUUAUGGAAGUAAAACCACAAUGAAUUGAAAGGAACAGUCAGAAGUGAACUCUGAACUCAUCACUGCCUCUAGUGGCUGUAUUGCUGAACAACCAUACUAAAUCCCUUCACAGCGUGAGGACUCCCAUGAAAUGCAUCCAAAAGACCUAAAAGCUGCCAAUCUCGCUGCUCCGUGAUGUCUUGUGUGCGUAGCUCUUGGCGCAGGAUGAACUUGUCACUUUGAUCAUCUGAAAGGCAGGCGCCCCCUGCUGUGUCAGACAUUACUACCUGCAAUUCUGAGGAGCCAUAAAGACUAUGGACUCCCUGGUCCUUGAAAUGGGACAUUAAGACAGAAUCAUCCUUGGUAAGUUGUAGUGAUAUCGAGGUGCUUUCUUUGCUGGGAGACGGGCCGGGUCUGAGUGUGUUUGGAUAGCUUUUAAAGUACCUAAUCUUACAGUCUAAGGUUGCUGUAAAUGAGGUGUUUGCUGCUUUUCUCAAUGAGACGUUACAUGAGAAGAGCACCGUGACCUGCCAGGACUGUUAAACCAUUCGACUGUACGGUUCCAACGAGCCUGAGCUCUGGCCAGAUGCCCGCUGCAGUACAGCCAACGCAAACGGUUGUAUUGUUAACUUUACAAGACCUUCAGCUAUUUUGACCUAUUCAUUUACAUGAUAAUCUGGGAACACUGACCUGCAAAAAUGUUGUUAAAUUACCCAGAUAUGAAGCACAACCAGUGUUUUGAGUUAGUUUCCCUCUCUGUUUAUACUUGUGGAAUGUACUCGUUACAUACGUGUUCCUACACAGAUGGAGUACACAUGCUGUGGCCACAUACAUCUGGAGCUUUGUGAUUCAUUAGUGCAGGGUGUCAAACUCAAAUUCACUGUGGGACUAAAUUAAAAACUGGGCCAAACUUAAUGUUUAUUGAAAAGUUGACAACAAUCGUUCAUGUUUUCUCUUCUCUCCAGAUCUGUAAUGUAGAGUUUGUUCAUGUGGAAACAAACUGUAGUUUUGCGUAAACAUUGAAUCUGGAACAACCAAAGGUUAAUAUUAUAAACACAUGACAAAUUAAAUUGGAAAUGAAACACACAUCAGUGGUAGUUGUUCCUUAUUAUGUCUUUAUCUGUAGCCUUUUGAGUCCAUUUUUAAUGUAAAUCUUUUUUUCACAGACCAGCAACAAAAAAAAAACCCAACAUUUUUCUGCUGUAACAUAGCACAUACACCGCUAAUACUAGAAAUCCUUCCAGUAUACAGCGCCCAUAUACUGGCGGGCCAACUCUAGUACACAUUUGAUAUGAUCUUGAGGGUCAAAUAAUUCCACUGCGGGCCAAAUUUGGCCCCCAGGCCUGAGUUUGAGAUGUGUGCUUUAGUGUUGUGUUCGGGGACCAAUUGCUUGCUGAAACCAAUGACAUAAUAAAACUUUUUUGGGACAAAAGAAGCUCUCUUUCCAUCUUUUCUUUAAAAUCUAGGGAUGCCAAAAAUCAGGCUAUGAGAGACUAUGCAUGAUUCCAGUCAGUUUUUCAAUAAAUAUUUAGUUUGGCCCACAACUUUGUCCCCGUUGUACCGUACAAAACAAUCAUGUGUCAGUGCAAACUUCAGGAUCAGAGAAUAUUUUGGGGUUUUUUUUGCUUUGCUAUACUGAGCAUAUUUAUUUAAAUUUAAAAGAUGUUUGUGUGUGUGUGUGUGUGUGUGUGUGCAUGUGCUGUGCAUAUGAAUGUAUUCAGAAUGUCAGGCUCCCUCUGCAGACCUGAGUCUCUUCACUGCUUCUUAAAGCUUAAUGCUUCCUGACUGAGUGGCACAGUGAGAGCAUCUCUCUCCCUGUGUCUCCAUGUGUCACAUAAUGCCUACAACAACCUCUCAAUACCAGUCACCCCGAUCCCCCGCCCCAUCUAAUGUACCCUCCUUCUCCAGCUGCACAGAUAUAGCCAUUUCCAUUCAAUGAAACACAAGAGCAAAUACAUUUAAGUGUAAUGAUGAACACUAACAUUGUCUCUAAUGGCCUCCCAUCCCAGCCCAGUUUUAAAACAUAUGUAAAUUUAUGUAAACCCAACAGAAGCACAUAUUUACAAUAGUGUGGGGUAAUCACAAUAUGAUGACACGGUGUGCUGCUCUCUCUCAUAGAUGCAUGCGCCAUGAGUCAUUAGUCUUCCUCAUCUGUUUUUGUUUUUUUUCUUCUUCUUCAUGCAA